UGCGAGGUCGUCUAACUGGCAGGACAUGGGACUUUGGAUCCCACAGUGGAGGUUCGAGUCCUCCCCUCGCAG
This 72-nucleotide transfer RNA is filed under the name bacterium. RNAcentral's name for it is "tRNA-Gln". It matches the Rfam family "tRNA". Rfam says of the family: Transfer RNA (tRNA) molecules are approximately 80 nucleotides in length. Their secondary structure includes four short double-helical elements and three loops (D, anti-codon, and T loops). Further hydrogen bonds mediate the characteristic L-shaped molecular structure. tRNAs have two regions of fundamental functional importance: the anti-codon, which is responsible for specific mRNA codon recognition, and the 3' end, to which the tRNAs corresponding amino acid is attached (by aminoacyl-tRNA synthetases). tRNAs cope with the degeneracy of the genetic code in two manners: having more than one tRNA (with a specific anti-codon) for a particular amino acid; and 'wobble' base-pairing, i.e. permitting non-standard base-pairing at the 3rd anti-codon position. RNAcentral also lists the same sequence under 1 other name. The record is from RNAcentral.